RNAcentral lists this ribosomal RNA (472 nucleotides) under uncultured bacterium. RNAcentral's name for it is "SSU rRNA". It matches the Rfam family "Bacterial small subunit ribosomal RNA", at positions 26 to 518 of the family's 1533-position model. The record is from RNAcentral.
AGAUUGAACGCUGGCGGCAUGCCUUACACAUGCAAGUCGAACGGCAGCACGGGAGCAAUCCUGGUGGCGAGUGGCGAACGGGUGAGUAAUACAUCGGAACGUGCCCAGUAGUGGGGGAUAACCCGGCGAAAGCCGGACUAAUACCGCAUACGACCUACGGGUGAAAGCAGGGGAUCGCAAGACCUUGCGUUAUUGGAGCGGCCGAUGUCAGAUUAGCUUGUUGGCGGGGUAAAAGCCCACCAAGGCGACGAUCUGUAGCUGGUCUGAGAGGACGACCAGCCACACUGGGACUGAGACACGGCCCAGACUCCUACGGGAGGCAGCAGUGGGGAAUUUUCCACAAUGGGCGAAAGCCUGAUGGAGCAACGCCGCGUGCAGGAUGAAUGCCUUAGGGUUGUAAACUGCUUUUAUAUGUGACGAUUAUGACGGUAGCAUAUGAAUAAGGAUCGGCUAACUCCGUGCCAGCAGCCGC